Molecule: RNA transcript, 3858 nt
Organism: Eucalyptus grandis
Lineage: Eukaryota; Viridiplantae; Streptophyta; Magnoliopsida; Myrtales; Myrtaceae
Gene name: disease resistance protein RPV1
Exons: 6
Source: RefSeq, a predicted model, not a curated record
UCUUCCAAUGUCGUCGUCUUCUUCUUUUUCUUCCGAAGCAAAAUGGCCGUUCGACGUCUUCCUCAGCUUCAGAGGCGAGGACGUUCGUCACGGCUUCCUCGCCGACCUCCACAGGUGUCUGCUUCAUGACGGCAUCAACGCCUACAUUGACAGCGAGGACUUGAGGCGCGGGGACGAGAUCUCGCCCGCCCUCAUGAGGGCCAUCGAGGAGUCGCGAAUCGCGGUGCUCGUCUUCUCCGAGGACUACGCUUCGUCAAGGUGGUGCUUGGAUGAGCUGGUGAAGGUGAUGGAGUGUAGGAGGCUUAACGGACAGCAGGUGCUGCCCGUGUUCUACAGAGUGGAGCCGAGGGAGGUUCGAGGGCAGAGAGAGAGUUAUGGCAAGGCAUUGGCCAGGCACGAGGAGAAACUGGGAAAGGGUUCUGAGAGGGUGGAGAAAUGGAGGCAAGCCCUAAUCGAAGCGGCCAAUUUGUCCGGUUGGCAUUAUGACCAUGGAGAUGAGACUGAGUUCAUCGAGAAGAUCGUCAAAGAGAUCUCAGCUACAGUAGCACGAGUACCCUUGAGUGUUGCCAAGUAUCCCGUUGGUGUAGGUUGCCGGGUAGAAAAAGUAAUGUCGUUGUUGAGUAUGGGCUCGGAUGAUGUUCAGAUGAUAGGAAUAUGGGGAACUAGAGGCUUAGGGAAGACCACUAUUGCUAAAGAUGUCUAUAACAGUAUUGCAAGUCAGUUUGAUGGGUGCAGCUUUCUUGCAAAUGUUAGAGAAACUUCCAAUAGACCUGACGGCCUAGUUCAUUUGCAAAAAGCGCUGCUAUCUGAGACAUUAUGGAAAGAAAAUUUAGUGGUCUUAAGUGAGGACAAAGGUGCUAAUCUGAUACGAGAUAGACUUUGCUGCAGGAAGAUUCUUCUUGUGCUUGAUGACGUGGAUCAUGGGGACCAGUUAAAUGCAUUAGCUAGAGAAUGUGCAUGGUUUGGAAAAGGGAGCAGGAUCAUCAUUACCACAAGAGAUAAACAUGUACUAACUUCUCAUGGGAUAGAUUGGGUAUAUGAAGUUAAACCAUUAGAUCAAGAUGAAGCUUCUGAACUUCUGAGUUCAUAUGCUUUUUCAAGAAAUCAGACGAAAGACAUAAGCAUGGAUCUCAUAGAUAAUAUUUUGGGCUAUGCUAAUGGCCUUCCCUUGGCUAUUGUGGUCUUGGGUCCCUUUUUACGUGGUAGAAGUAGAGGGGAAUGGGAGAGCACAUUGGAAACACUUACUGAAAGUCCUAAUAAAGAUAUAAAUCGUGUCCUCAAGAUAAGUUUUGAUGCGCUGGACAACAAUCAGAAGGACAUUUUUCUUGACAUUGCCUGCUUCUUUAAGAGGAGAAAAAGGGAUUAUGUAACCAGAGUUCUUGAUGGUUGUGGUUUAAAGACUUUAAUUGGGAUGCAGACUCUAAUAGAGAGAUCCUUAGUAACAAUUGAGGAUGACAGCACAAUACAAAUGCAUGACUUGAUUGAGCAGAUGGGUCAGGAUAUCGUUAAAAAUGAGUGUCUAGAUGACCCUGGGAGACGGAGCAGAUUAUGGUGCUAUGAUGAUGUUUUUGAAAUAUUGUCGGAGGAUAUGGGAACCAAUGCUGUUAAAGGCAUAGUGCUGGACUUGCCAACACGAAAAAAGCUAGACAUUAGUCCCAGUGCUUUCACACACAUGAGGAGACUGAAAUUGCUCAUAAUUCUGAAUGCACAAAUCAGUGGAGGUCCCAUAUGUCUUCCUAAUGAUUUAAGGUGGCUUGAAUGGCCUGGAUGUCCUUUGUCCACUCCUGUAUAUGUUCCAAAGAAACUUGUUUGCUUUCACGUGCCUGACAGCCAGAUUAAGGAAUUUGGAAGGAACUUAAAGGAUUUUAGAAUGUUGAAGGACAUCAAUUUCAGUAAAUGCAAUUUCCUGACUCGUGUUCCUGACAUUUCGUGGGCUCCAAAUUUGGAGAGAUUGGAUCUUAGUUGGUGCGAAAGCUUGGUGGAGGUUGAUCAAUCUGUUGGAUAUCUUGACAAGUUAGAAUUUUUAUCAUUAGAUGCGUGCUCUAAUCUUAGUAUCUUUCCUAGCAUACUCAAGACAAAAUCUCUUCGCGAACUUGGUCUCUCUGAUUGCUCUAAACUCGAGAAGUUCUUUGAUAUUCCAGAAAAGAUAGAACAUCUAAAGGGACUUGAACUAGCAGGAACGGCUAUUAAAGAUCUCCCUGCAUCCAUUAAUAAUCUUGUCUCUGUAGAGUAUAUAAGUUUAUGGAAUUGCAAAAAUUUCGCAAGGCUUCCAUCUAGCAUUUAUAAAUUGCAAAAUCUGAGCUCUAUGGAUAUUAGAAAUUGCUCCAAUUUCAUCACAUUUCCAAAGAACUUGGAGGAUCCAACUGAUCUUGAUGGUGGCUUGGGAUUCCCAAAUCUAGACAGGCUAAAUCUUCAGGGUUGCAAUUUAUCAGGGUUAGAUUUCCUCGAGGGUUCUUCCAAUUUUCCCAAAUUGACGUACCUAAAUCUUGGAGGGAACAAGUUCACUCAUAUGCCGAGGUGCUUCCGCAAAUAUGAUAAUUUGACAAACUUGUAUCUGGAUAAUUGCAAGCAACUGCAAGAGAUUCCUCAGCUUCCAUCAAAUAUUGGGCACAUAAGCGCAAAUAAUUGCAGAUUUCUACAAAAACUCCCAGAUUUUUCGAGUCUCUCCAACUUCUCUGAAGUUGACUUCUCUUCUUGCUGUGGAUUAUCACGGAAAGGGUUCGAUCUGGCUGGUGUGUCAAUACUCAAGGUCAGUCUCUCUCUCUCUCUCUCACUCACUCACUCUCUCUCUCUCUCUCUCUCUCUCUCUCUCUCUCUCUCUCUCUCUCUCUCACUGAGACAGAGCAAAAUGAAGAAUGUCAACAACAGCAACACAAGACUCAUCCUCCUCCACCCUUACAUCCAGAAGCAAGGAAGCUCCAACCGCCUUCAUCUCCUUCUUGACCACCGUCUUCGUCGUCACCCUCAUUUACACCAGAGAGUAUUCCACAACCGCCGCCGCCUCCGCCGCCACCACCACCACCUUUCCCUCCACCACGACGGCCUAUAGCAACGCGCCUCUGCCAUCGACCGUCAUCAAAACCCUCCUUCACUACUCAUCCAAGUCCAACGACUCUUUCCGCAUGUCCUAUACCCCGAGCUCAAGCCCAUCUCGGACGUCCUGAGGAAAUGCUCCUCCCCUCGCAACUUCCUAGUGUUUGGCCUCACUCAUGAGACCCUCCUCUGGAAAGCCCUCAACCAUCACUCGCAAGCGAAGUACCGCAUGGAUGAAUUUCACUAUACCAUCGGCUGAUCGCCCCCGAAAAAAGUUUCUAUUUGAGCAUAAUGCCGAUGAGAGACAAUGUCAAGACAAAGCAGUUUCCCUGAAAUUGCCAGCUCUGUGCUGCAUACCUGACAAGAGCUCCCACAGGCCCAGUCCUUGAAAUUGGAUGGUGAUGGCUUAGUCAUAGAGUGAGAGUUUAGAGCUGCCAAAGCCAUUGAUAUCUGCGUGAGGAAGAUUAUCUCCUCCCGCCAGUGCUUGUCCCUUCGUACGAAGGAACCCCACUCUAUGACGUCCACCAGUCUAGUGAGGACUUCAGUUCUUCACAGGUUUACAGUUACCAACUCUUGACAGUACUUUAGUGGAAGAAUCUAAUCGAGCCUAACAAAUGGCAAGAGUGGCACAGAGCAUGGGAGGAAGUUUCUGUCUGUAUUUGGAAAUCUGUGAAGUUCCUGUUAUGUACCAUUUGAGAAGGUAAUCUUGUUCAUUUUGAUUUUUCAUUUUUUCUUUUCUCUGCAUUGCUAGAAAGGAUGAUCCCAGGGAUGAUUUUGUUUUUCUUAUGAAUUGGAAAUUAGAAUUGGAAAACUGAGGUUGAGUUG